GUGAGACUAGGCAGACCCUGGUUACCAUA
Molecule: non-coding RNA, 29 nt
Filed under: Homo sapiens (human)
Lineage: Eukaryota; Metazoa; Chordata; Mammalia; Primates; Hominidae
Source: RNAcentral